UGCCAGCAGCCGCGGUAACACGAACCGUCCAAACGUUAUUCGGUAUCACUGAACUUAAAGCGUGCGUAGGCGGCUUGGUAGGUGAGAUGUGAAAUCCCACGGCUCAACCGUGGAAUUGCGUUUCAAACCCCCAAGCUCGAAAAAAAUAGAAGUGAUGGGAACUUAUGGUGGAGCGGUGAAAUACAUUGAUAUCAUAGGGAACACCGGUGGCGAAAGCGCAUCACUGGAUCUUUUCUGACGCUGAGGCACGAAAGCUAGGGUAGCGAACGAAAUUAGAUA
Molecule: ribosomal RNA, 279 nt
Filed under: uncultured bacterium
Lineage: Bacteria
Description: partial 16S ribosomal RNA
Rfam family: Bacterial small subunit ribosomal RNA
Source: RNAcentral